Molecule: microRNA precursor, 190 nt
Filed under: Oryza brachyantha (malo sina)
Lineage: Eukaryota; Viridiplantae; Streptophyta; Magnoliopsida; Poales; Poaceae
Description: MIR812 microRNA precursor family
Rfam family: MIR812 microRNA precursor family
Source: Rfam by way of RNAcentral
AAUAAGAUCAUUUUUUAAUUUUCUGAUAUAAUGUUUUGACUCUUCGUCUUAUUUGAAUUUUUUUGCGAUUAAUAUUUUUAUUCUUACUAGAUGAUAAAAACAUAAAUAGUACUUUAACCGUGACUAUUUUUUUAAUUUUUUGUAUAAAUUUUUCAAAUAAAACAAAUAGUCAAACGUUGGACACGGAAAA